GCCACGUAUGUCUAAAAAGUUCAUUUGAUUCAUACAACAAAUAAUUUAUUGAACAAUUACUCUGUCAGAUUCUGGACUGGGCACUGGGGAUAGCAGAAAAGUGAGAGUCCCUGCCCGCAAGGAGCUUACAGUCUAGCAUAAGAACUUAACAAUACCUCAGAGCCGAGUGAGAAGACUUUCCAGUAUCUAGGAUAUUAUCCAGAACAUUCUCAACUUUCCUAAAAAUAGGAGUCUAAAAUUUACCAGAAAGCACAUUUUAGAAAUGGAAGAUGCAGUGAAAUUUAAAAGAAAAUCAAAUUUCCAAACUGUAACGUAGACACCAUGAAACUGAAAUAAGAAACUUAGGAAAGCUGAAGAUUCUAUUUUAAAUAGUAUAAACAAGAUUUAAAUUUUAAAAUGAUUUUAUUGUCUCUGGGUGACAUUUUCAUUUAUAGUGACAUUCAUAUACACAUACAUACACGAGGUGUGCAUAUGUGAGAUGUGUUCCUUGGAGCUUUUGAUAAAACCUAUAUUUCCAUUCAUUUACAACUAAAGCAGCAGCAUACAGGUAAAUUUGAGACUUUCCUUUUGAUAAUUUCUAUUGUCAUUUGAAUGGGAGAAAUUCUGAGGAAUCUUUAGGGUAUAAAUUUUGGUACAAACUAAAACUCUCUGUAACAAUGUGUGAUAAUUUAAACAUGUAUUUUAAUGGCUAUUGACCAAGUUUAAUGGCAUCAAAAAUACUCAAGUCUAUCUGGAUUUAAUUUUCAUUGUUCCCCUUCCCUCCACUGAUUCUCCUUAUUUUUUUAAAGCAUGAACGAUCCACGUGCAAAUACAGAGCCUUUGUUGUUACUUGGCUAUACUUUGGUGCGUUGCUGUUUAUUCCUUAAUGUAGCAGCAUCCUUAGUCUGUAGUAUUUUACUUGGUGGCAACUGAAAAAAUCACUAGCCUAGGCCUUACCUGGGUACUUCUAUUAUCCAGAAGGUUAUUGUGAACCGGUCAGAAAGCUGGUGAGCAACCAAAAGAGCGGUCUCAAAGACUGUGCACAUGGGGCUCGUGUAGCUCUUUAGACACCGAGCGGGCUUGGUUAUUGCUUGUCCCAGCUUGUAACAGAUGAACACAGCACAUAUGACAAAGAGCCUGUUAGAGGCAGGCAGGUGGAUACUGUGGUAGGAGACAGAACAAACUA
This 1165-nucleotide long non-coding RNA is filed under the name Canis lupus familiaris (dog). RNAcentral's name for it is "lncRNA (ENSCAFG00000052910.1, ENSCAFG00805031254.1, ENSCAFG00845013991.1)". The record is from RNAcentral. Lineage: Eukaryota; Metazoa; Chordata; Mammalia; Carnivora; Canidae.